AGAACGAACGCUGGCGGCAUGCCUAACACAUGCAAGUCGAACGAGACCUUCGGGUCUAGUGGCGCACGGGUGCGUAACGCGUGGGAAUCUGCCCUUGGGUUCGGAAUAACAGUUAGAAAUGACUGCUAAUACCGGAUGAUGACGUAAGUCCAAAGAUUUAUCGCCCAGGGAUGAGCCCGCGUAGGAUUAGCUAGUUGGUGAGGUAAAGGCUCACCAAGGCGACGAUCCUUAGCUGGUCUGAGAGAUGAUCAGCCACACGUGGGACUGAGACACGGCCCAGAC
RNAcentral lists this ribosomal RNA (282 nucleotides) under uncultured soil bacterium. Its description in RNAcentral is "partial 16S ribosomal RNA". It matches the Rfam family "Bacterial small subunit ribosomal RNA", at positions 26 to 336 of the family's 1533-position model. The record is from RNAcentral.